CAGGGAGUGGUGCUUGAGUCAACACCCGUGCAAAGGACUGGGCUGAGGCAGAAUUGGGAAGAGGGAGAAAUCCAGCUGAGAUGCAAGCCAGACAGUGCCCGCCAACAGCACAGGGUGCUCAGAAACUUGAAACAGAACACAGAGGAGUUGACAAUUCAGCAGUACUGAUCUACUUGUAGCUUACAGUGUGGUAUUGAUGACUGCAAACUCACAUCUGAGAAUUAAAGACAUAGAAGGCUUUUGUGACAACCUCCAACAAAACAGUCUAGACAGUUAUUGAAGAGAACUCUUAAAAAAUGUGAUAAGGAUGCUGAAGAGUGGCUCUUCACAGUUCAUGGCUUCUGGUGGGGGUUGGGUAGGAGAAGGAAUCUGUUAUCUUCAAG
This 383-nucleotide long non-coding RNA is filed under the name Cricetulus griseus (Chinese hamster). RNAcentral describes it as "lncRNA (ENSCGRG00015027150.2)". The record is from RNAcentral. Lineage: Eukaryota; Metazoa; Chordata; Mammalia; Rodentia; Cricetidae.